ACGGGGGGGGCAAGCGUUGUUCGGAAUUACUGGGCGUAAAGGGCGUGUAGGUGGCCAACUAAGUACGACGUGAAAUCCCCAGGCUUAACCUGGGAACUGCGUCGGAUACUGGAUGGCUUGAAUUCGGGAGAGGGAUGCAGAAUUCCUGGUGUAGAGGUGAAAUUCGUAGAUAUCAGGAGGAACACCAGUGGCGAAGGCGGCUUUCUGGACGGUAACUGACGCUGAGACGCGAAAGCGUGGGGAGCAAACAGGA
Molecule: ribosomal RNA, 253 nt
Filed under: uncultured prokaryote
Description: partial 16S ribosomal RNA
Rfam family: Bacterial small subunit ribosomal RNA
Source: RNAcentral